Molecule: long non-coding RNA, 646 nt
Organism: Hibiscus syriacus
Lineage: Eukaryota; Viridiplantae; Streptophyta; Magnoliopsida; Malvales; Malvaceae
Exons: 2
Source: RefSeq, a predicted model, not a curated record
ACAACACCUCUCUUAACUCUCCCUUACAACGCAACCGCCUCCUUCACCCCAAAAGUCUUUCGUUGGCCACCACUCUUCAAAAACCCACAAGACGUUGCACCCGCCGUGGAUCGACGCUGCACCUCUCGCCUUCACCAUCUUCGUCAAUGGCUGGACGAAUCGAGACUAACCAAACAACAUCAAACGUCUUUUCUUCGUGUAACCUAAACAACCUACUAACCUUCUAAAACACUCGGUCGAUUGACUCUUGGUCCCAUAUAGCGCCGACGACUCGAUCCCGACAACAUACACUCCAGCGAGACCACCCAUAAAAUCAGUGGGAUUUGCUUGGGAGCGUACGGUUGUUGAGCUUUGAGGAUCAUGUCCACUGUUGAAGCUUCUCGAAUGUGGAGGAUGUGCAGCUGACAUGGAAGGUUCGAGUAGCAGUUGUCCAUUAGGUCUAGGAUUUCUCUAGAAAGGGUGAUGUAGGUUUCGGGUAAUUUUAAUAUGGUAAUGGGUUAAUGGGUCAUGACUUGUAAUGUAAUGUUUAAUUUGAUUGGGUUUAGCUUUUGUCAAGAAUGAAAUGAAUUUGUAAUUGGACUUUAAUGGUCAUUUGGACAUUUAAUUUGGUCAUUGGGUCAAUAGAUUUUAUAGUUGGUUAUUGAGU